AUGAAUAAUUUCACUGGUAUGAUUCCGGCGGAGAUCGGUAGGUUACAAGGACUAUUUUCACUUAACUUGAGCUCCAACAGAUUAUCUGGAGAGAUACCAGAACAGAUCUGCAAUCUCACGAACCUGCAGAUGCUCGACUUGUCUGGUAAUCAUCUCACUGGUAAGAUUCCAGCUGCAUUGAACAAUCUGCACUUCCUUUCCAGAUUCAACAUUUCUAAUAAUGACCUAGAAGGCCCUAUUCCAAACAUGGGCCAGUUCAGCACGUUUCCGGAUUCUAGCUUUGGUGGAAACCCAAAACUGUGUGGCCCUAUGGUUGCAAACCAUUGUGGUUCGGCAGAAGCAAGUCCAGUUUCCAUUGACCCUAUAAAACAGAUUGGUAGUGAGGCCAUCAUCUUUAUGACCUCCUUCGGUGUUUUCUUUGGAGUAGGAGUCCUAUAUGAUCAGAAAGUCUUAGCUAGACAUUUUGGCUGA
This 471-nucleotide ribosomal RNA is filed under the name Triticum aestivum (bread wheat). Its description in RNAcentral is "partial small subunit ribosomal RNA". Lineage: Eukaryota; Viridiplantae; Streptophyta; Magnoliopsida; Poales; Poaceae. The record is from RNAcentral.